This is a long non-coding RNA of Glossina fuscipes, 1568 nucleotides long. RefSeq lists it as uncharacterized. NCBI's taxonomy places the organism in Eukaryota, Metazoa, Arthropoda, Insecta, Diptera, Glossinidae. The record is from RefSeq and is a predicted model, not a curated record. The transcript is spliced from 2 exons.
GUUAAAUAUUAAAUAUCUACUUUAUAUAUAUUUAUAUUUAUAUUUACAAAUUUGUUAAAAAUUAUAUCAAAUCGAGCAAAUGAUAACAUGGACAUACAAACAUUAAUGCAGAGAGCUUGAUUCCUUCGAAAAGUGAUAUCAAAUAAGGUCACUUGAAAAAAAAAAAAAAAAAAAAUUAAAAUUAAUUAAAUAUUUCCAAGUUAUGUUUCUUUUACUCUAUAUUUGCUGAAAGUGAAAGUUAACCAUUAUUAAAACUACGAAUGACUUGCGCAGUUAAAAAAACCAGAAAAGCUUUAAUAAUUUAGAAGUUAAAUACUUCAGUGAAGUUCUUAUUAGCCAUACGGGUAUGAAUGAAUAGAUCGUCGACAUUUUCAGCCUGAAUUAAUAAAUGAAUUCAGCAUAUCUUCAAAUUGAAUUCCAGAACGUUAUCCCUUACAAGCCACCGACAAUUGGUGAAGACAAACUGACAUGUUGGCCAUCUUGAUUUUUUUGAUCUUAAAUUGUUAACAACAGUCGGAGAAGCGGGCAGAUAGAAACGACUAAGGCUACCAUCUGUAACACACUUCAAUAGUCAUAGGCAUAGAAAGUUCGCUAAGAGAGCUGGUGGUGCCAACAAUUUUAUUAAAACAUUUUUCGAUUCAAUUUUUUUUUUUUUGCCUUCUGAAAAUUUCUAGAAAACAUAUGCGCUCCAACCUCAAACUGGUUUCAUUCAAUUGCCUUUUAUAAGUGGUGAACCCGAUUGCGAUUAUACCAUAAAAACGAAUAUCUCCGAACUUUCUAAUAUGCAUAUGCAAGACGUUGAUUACUAAAAGAAUAAAUUUGUCAAAUCCGCCUAUGGCACUCUAAGCCAUCGUGUUCGUAUUACAACCGAAACGAACGAUAAUUUCCUAUUCACACUAUUUUUUCUUUUAACUUAUUUUUUUUAGUAUUUUUUUUUUUUUUUUUUUUGUUUUGGUUUUAAGGUUGUCGCGAAAUACCACCUAAAGAUUAUGAGUUCAAGGAAGCUAAAGCUUAUACUAGACUUUUACAACCACAAAUUGCCGAUCAGAUGUUGUACAUGCAUGAGGAUCAAGUACAGAAACGGUCUAAGCGAAACUUGCAAACGACGAAUAUUAAGGCAAAAUUAGUGAUCGAAAGUUCGUUGAGUUACAUGCUGGUAAAUAUGAAAUAUUGAUCAAUAAAAGCGGAGUGCAUAGAGAAAAAUUAAAAUUCAAGCACCGAAAAGCCUCAAGUCUGCUUUGAUAGCUUGGUGGUCACUAACCAUAGCAUUUGUGACAUGAGUUUUUCUGAUGUGGCGCUCGCUAUUCGCCUCGGUGGCCAGUCGUUACAAACCAAAUGUUCCAGAAAAUUAGGCAACAAUUAAGGUAUAGGAUUGAUAACGUUACACGAGUGAUGAUAUUAAUGAAAUUUAGUUCCAAGUAUUUCGUUAAAAUAACACUUUGUUUGGUUAUUAAUUUAUUUAAUUAAUUAUGAUUCAUUUGAUUAAAUUAUGCAAAUCAUACAGAGUAGUAUAUAUUAUUUUAUUCCCAUACACAUUAGAGCAAAUUCCCAUAGAGAAAAAAUAAACG